Molecule: ribosomal RNA, 455 nt
Filed under: uncultured bacterium
Lineage: Bacteria
Description: bacterial SSU rRNA
Rfam family: Bacterial small subunit ribosomal RNA
Source: RNAcentral
AGGCAGCAGUGGGGAAUUUUGGACAAUGGGGGAAACCCUGAUCCAGCCAUACCGCGUGAGUGAAGAAGGCCUUCGGGUUGUAAAGCUCUUUCAGACGGAAAGAAACGGUCACGGCUAAUACCCGUGGCUAAUGACGGUACCGUAAGAAGAAGCACCGGCUAACUACGUGCCAGCAGCCGCGGUAAUACGUAGGGUGCGAGCGUUAAUCGGAAUUACUGGGCGUAAAGCGUGCGCAGGCGGUUUUUUAAGCCAGAUGUGAAAUCCCCGGGCUUAACCUGGGAACUGCAUUUGGAACUGGAAGACUAGAGUACGGCAGAGGGGGGUAGAAUUCCACGUGUAGCAGUGAAAUGCGUAGAUAUGUGGAGGAAUACCGAUGGCGAAGGCAGCCCCCUGGGUCGAUACUGACGCUCAUGCACGAAAGCGUGGGGAGCAAACAGGAUUAGAUACCCUGGUAG